CCUCCGGAGAAACCGAGACAACAGACAUCCACCUCCGUCACCCGGGCCCACCGUCCCCGGCGUGAAGCGCACCGUCCGCCGGCCCGACGCGGCGACCCCCCCCCCCCCCCCCCCCCCCCCCUCCUCUUCUGAAAAUUCGAACCGACGAGGCGACGGGGGGACCCGUUCCACAAUAAUCGCACUCGCGGAGCGGGCACGCCGACGGCCGCCCGCCCGCCCUCGGAGAUUCAGCUGUCGGACCCCGUCUCGGGAAUCGCCGAUUACACCUGAACUACAGUUCUGCCAUGAGUCCUGUGGCUUUCUGUCCUAUGCAUGCCAUUCAUCUAUCGAUCGUAGUUUUGUUAGCAGCUACCUACAUGCAUGUGCCAGGCACUGCUAUCAUCGUGGUUCCAAGUUCUAAUUGUUACACCUUUGAUAACGAGAGCCGCCUUAUUGAUUUUACACAUCUGGUCGGAAAGGAAUAUGAAUACAAUGAACAGGGUUCAGAACCGCCUGAUUUGGUUGUUGAGUUCUGCAAAGAUGUGCAGAGAAGAUCUCAAAAGGGUUACAUUGAAUUUGGACGUUUUGUUAGUUCUCGCUCCUUUCUGCUUGGUUCAGGGCCUACUGACUAUAUUCAGAAAUUCCAUGAUGGAGAUUUAGUGCACUGUGAAACUACAUUUGAAAAGAUGGGUCGUACAGCACAGGUAAACAUCAUAUGUGGACAUUGCUCAAAUAAUGCGUGCAGAGAUGAACAAGGAUGCAUUUGUAGCAUAUCUUAUGAUGAAAGGAUGUGCAGGGUGCUUGUUGAACUUGCUAUUCCUUGUGUUAAAAGUGGUCCAAGAGUAUUCAAGGGUUUCACUGUGGGAUUCCAUCCCAGAUCAUCAGAAAUUGUUUAUAAUGGAUUGACUCAGCUGGGAUUUGAGCAACUCCAUCAUGGCUUUAGCUUUCAAACUGAGCAGAUUCAUGUGUCCCUGUAUCUUACUGCUAUGUCUUCCCUCGCAGAACUGGUUGGAAAACCUACCUUCAAGGUUAAUCCAGUGAAAGGGCUUAGUGUUACAAUUACAGGAUCAGGGCUCAAUGGUGCCAUGCCUACUACCCUGUCUCCUACAGUUCUGAAUGUGGAUUGGAGAUGUGAAAUUGCUCGAAGCAGUCCGUAUGAAGUCAAUAUUUUGAUCCCAGUUGAGGGCUAUGAUCCAAUUGAGUUUACACUUACCAAAGAAUGUGUUUAUGCACAAGAAAAAGAGAGUGAUCCCAUGAAAGGCUGGGCAACAUUUGGAAUUAUUUCAUGCAUCUUCAUUGUCUUAUCAACUCUACUUUAUUGUGGAGGGUUCAUCUACAAAACCCGCGUGGAGCAUCUGUAUGGUUUAGAUGCACUGCCUGGGAUGGCCUUCUUAUCCGCCUUUCUGGAUGCUGCUGGUAGACCAAGAGGCUACUUGCCAGCAGGCAAUCCAAGUGAAAGUCAUGCAAGCCAGGCGUCUUGGGAACACACACAUAAUACCACACAAGCAGCACAGAGGACAAAUGAUAGGGAAUAUGGAUCAAUAUGAACCAAAAGCAUAUGUAGUUUUGAGGAUUAUUUCUUGCAGGAAGUGAGCUUAUGGAGUGUUGCUAAUCAUCUUCACCUCUUCAUAAUAAGGCCUUCUCAUUCAACUGCCACCUCAUGUGCAAGUGAAUUAGUGCAUCCAUUGAUGUGCACAAUUAAUUUUUCUUUAUGUGUGACAUUAAAUCGAAAGGCCAUUCACCGUCUUGCGAUACCACGCUUGCUAGCAACUGUUGUGUCUUAUCAUAUUGUAUAGUAUAAUAGAGCGCAAACUACUCAAAACUGUUAUUAUUGAAGUGUUUACGUGCUAAUCUCGGAAAAUUAGUUAUAAUGUAUGCAUCAUGGUCUGGAAACUAUAUGCAAUGACUCGCCCCUUUUCCAUCUUUUACAUAACAGAGUUAUGGAUUGAUUUAGAGCAAAAGAAAAUGAUAUACAUUUCAUUGAAACUAGUUGGCUUACAUUAACAAAUUGGAGGAAAAAAAAAGGCGAACUGAAGUUACAGUUACAUCUUAUGCCACCACACAUUGGCAUGCUGACAUUCAAACUGAAAUAACAUCCAAAGUAAAUGGUUCAUCACAAGCAAAGGAACCUAAUGCAGACAGAAGCAUUUUGGUAGCUAGACCUCCUGAUUGACCCUAAGACAGUUCUUGCAGAUUUCUCCAUUGUGACCCAUGAGGGGAUUUAUGUUCCCCAUUUUGAUUAUGGAAUUCACGUAGUGUUCAAAGAAUAGUGGCUCGUUUUCUGCAUAACUUUUAACCAGCCCUGCUAUUUCUGGAUCUUUUCCUGUCCACAAAACUUCAUCUGAAUUGAGAAGCCCUUUUCCCUCCAAUAUCAGCUUAUAGUAGCUGUUGUCAAAUUUUGAAGGGCUGGCAAAAUCUAGUGAUCGUAUGUUGUUAUCACCACCUGUGCGUGGGCAUGCCGAUGCCAAUGUGUGAUAGAAACUUCUCUCUAGCGUUAUGUCUGGUCUGUUAUCUCUAUGCUGAUUGUACAGCUGCUGUUUGAAAUUCACACAUCUGGCCUUUCCGAUUGUGUGGCUUCCUGUCAGUUUAAAAUAGAACUCUUUAAGAAGAAAAGAAGAGAAUAUCCAUAUACACUAGCAACAGUUAUGUUCUUAGAAAUUAAUUUGGAUUACUAUUUUAAUUUCAGUGAUGCAUUCAUGACAUCAAUGAAACAUCAAUAAAUCCAUUAUGAAUAUAGUUAUUUUUUUAUUUUUCAUUGUUGUCUGGCAGAUAUUCCUGCUGAUGAUAGUAAUGCGUUUCUACUACACCGUUCUCAAUGUUUUUCUUAGUGUACUUUCAGCAUAAGCUUAUAACAAGAAUCUCAUAGAAUUAUGAACAACUGAACCAAUUAUCACUGCUUUCUUUAUUAAAGGUUUAUUUUGAGCAUUAGCAAUAGCAUACCUGAUAGUGCCACAAGGUCCACCUUAUCCAGUCCUUAAAACUUGAUAAGACGGUGUAGCGUUGCAUUUGGGGGAGGAAGGUUCUUAUUUGCUGGCUUCAUGUUUGCUGUCUUUGAAUCUCUCCUUCCUAAUGGAAGCUCCCAAUAUGGUCCACCACUCUGUCAGGCAAUAACAUUAUUAUGUGCGUUUUAAAUGUAUCAAGUAGAGCUAAAUUAAGUUCUACCUGAGGAUGCCAGCUUUUAGUCUUUAAAGAAAUUAAAAUAUAUUUUAGUGAGAAAUCCUUUAUGUAUUUCUCUUUCUGUAAUUAGUACAGGUUCUUGUCACUUAAAAGAGCAGAAAAUUACCAGUACUGUGGAACCUCGGGCUGCUAGGGCAAUAGUGUCUGCACAGGAGACUGUAUGUGGGCAUGCUUCCUCAAGUGCGGCUUUGAUCUCAUCUAUAACCUCAAAUCCCCUAAUUGAAUUCUUAUUGGGAAUAGCAUUUUUCUCGCUUACGAAUUCCUCAGUGUCAUCCAAAAGAACUGAUGCAUCACAGCCCUGCAAUUUCAUAUUGACAAUGAUGAGAAAAUAAUUUUGCUCUACAAUACGUGUACCACAAGAUAACCAAAGAUUAUUGAUGACUGAACAUGAAAACGUGGUUCUAGCACUCAACCAUGUUCAACAUCCCGGCUCAUGGGCGAACUAUGCUUGUUGAACGGUGACUUUUGUUCAUGGAUGAAAAAGGAAAUGGAUGUGAACUGUGCUAAUCUGAACAAAGCAGUCAUGAAAUAGGAGCCUGAGAAGGGAAGCAGCUAUCCUUGGUUCCUUUGCGAUAGCCUUCUUCAGUAUAGACACCACAAUCUCAUCAGCUUGUGGGCAUGUGAACUUGUAGUAAUCUGGAGAAAGACUUGAGAUUGGGGCAUUUCCAACUGGAUAGGCACCCUCAUGGUGAUCAGGUGGGAAGGCAAGGGAGGCAGAUAAGUAGAAGGAAGCAAUGAAGAUUGCACCAAGAACUAUCUUAGUUGAAGCCAUGAGUUCUUGAAUGCUGAUGUGCUUUAGUUUCAUGCAUUCUACUUCCUAUUUAUAGACACUCAUGUGACUCAACUGCAGCACUCCAUCCGCUCCACUUAUGGAAAGCGUCAUCUGUUUGCAUCAGGUGUACCUGAUUUAGAGAUGUCUGGUGCUUGGAUGGUUCAGAAUACUGAAGAAGCCAGCUUGCUGCGGCGUCGAAGCAGCUCAGGAAUCCAACUCUCACGAAGUCCCUUUUUUCCUACGAUCUAGGAUUUGUUCCAAAUCGUGUAUUUUCUGUAUGAGUUCGCAUUGAUCUCCUACCAGCCGCAAGUAGUUAGAGCAGUUUGUAGACCUUCUCCCGGACGGAAUUUCUCGCUUCCAAUCCAAGAAAAUUCCUUCAUUGCA
Molecule: RNA transcript, 4312 nt
Organism: Panicum virgatum (switchgrass)
Lineage: Eukaryota; Viridiplantae; Streptophyta; Magnoliopsida; Poales; Poaceae
Exons: 20
Source: RefSeq, a predicted model, not a curated record